This 253-nucleotide ribosomal RNA is filed under the name uncultured bacterium. Its description in RNAcentral is "partial 16S ribosomal RNA". It matches the Rfam family "Bacterial small subunit ribosomal RNA", at positions 524 to 776 of the family's 1533-position model. The record is from RNAcentral.
UACGAAGGGUGCAAGCGUUACUCGGAAUUACUGGGCGUAAAGCGUGCGUAGGCGGUUUGUUAAGUCCGUUGUGAAAGCCCCGGGCUCAACCUGGGAAUUGCAGUGGAUACUGGCGAGCUAGAGUGCGGUAGAGGAUGGUGGAAUUCCCGGUGUAGCGGUGAAAUGCGUAGAGAUCGGGAGGAACAUCAGUGGCGAAGGCGGCCAUCUGGGACAACACUGACGCUGAGGCACGAAAGCGUGGGGAGCAAACAGG